RNAcentral lists this ribosomal RNA (786 nucleotides) under uncultured bacterium. RNAcentral's name for it is "bacterial SSU rRNA". It matches the Rfam family "Bacterial small subunit ribosomal RNA", at positions 8 to 796 of the family's 1533-position model. The record is from RNAcentral.
AGAGUUUGAUCCUGGCUCAGAACGAACGUUGGCGGCGUGGAUUAGGCAUGCAAGUCGAACGAAUCCCAGUGGGGGUAACUCUGCUGGGGGAAGUGGCGAAAGGGGCAGUAAUGCGUGGGUAACCUACCUCUGGGACGGGGAUAGCCACUCUAACGAGUGGGUAAUACCCGGCGAGUCGGCGGCGGGGCAUCUCGCUGUCGGGAAAUGAGUUUCGCCUGGAGAGGGGCUCACGUGCUAUUAGCUUGUUGGCGGGGUAACGGCCCACCAAGGCAAAGAUGGCUAGCGGGUGUGAGAGCACGACCCGCGCCACUGGCACUGAGACACUGGCCAGACUCCUACGGGAGGCUGCAGUCGAGGAUCUUCGGCAAUGAGCGCAAGCUUGACCGAGCGACGCCGCGUGCGCGAUGAAGGCCUUCGGGUUGUAAAGCGCUGUCGAGGGGGAGGAAAGCCCGCAAGGGUUUGACCUAUCUCUGGAGGAAGCACGGGCUAAGUUCGUGCCAGCAGCCGCGGUAAGACGAACCGUGCAAACGUUGUUCGGAAUCACUGGGCUUAAAGGGCGCGUAGGCGGGUUCCAAAGUCGGUGGUGAAAUCUUGCGGCUCAACCGUAGAAGUGCCGCCGAUACUGGGAGUCUUGAGGGAGGUAGGGGUCGAGGGAACUCUAGGUGGAGCGGUGAAAUGCGUAGAUAUCUGGAGGAACGCCGGUGGCGAAAGCGCUCGACUGGACCUCUUCUGACGCUGAGGCGCGAAAGCCAGGGGAGCAAACGGGAUUAGAUACCCCCGUAGUCC